AAGUCAUAACAAGGUUUCCGUAGGUGAACCUGCGGAAGGAUCAUUAAUAGUGCCCUCUGAUGCAAAUCAUUGGGUUAGAUCUGCUCUCUUCGCAAGAAGAGGGUUUCCAUACACACCGUGAACUGCGGCUUCGGCCAUCACAAACUGUUAGUAAUGAAUGUAAUAUCAUAACAAAAACAAAACUUUUAACAACGGAUCUCUUGGCUCUCGCAUCGAUGAAGGACGCAGCGAAAUGCGAUAAGUAAUGUGAAUUGCAGAAUUCAGUGAAUCAUCGAACCUUUGAACGCACCUUGCGCCCUUUGGUAUUCCGAAGGGCAUGCCUGUUUGAGUGUCAUGAAACCUCACCCCACUUGGGUUUUUGCCUGAGCGGUGGUGUAUUGGGUGUUGCCUUGCUAAAGGCUCGCCUUAAAGACAUAAGCACCUUGGAUGUAAUACGUUUCAUCCUUCUGGGUGGCUGAUAACCCCACAUAUUCAUGAUCUGGCCUCAAAUCAGGUAGGGCUACCCGCUGAACUUAA
RNAcentral lists this ribosomal RNA (516 nucleotides) under Vishniacozyma victoriae. RNAcentral describes it as "eukaryotic LSU rRNA". The stretch from base 181 to 334 matches the Rfam family "5.8S ribosomal RNA". The record is from RNAcentral. Lineage: Eukaryota; Fungi; Basidiomycota; Tremellomycetes; Tremellales; Bulleribasidiaceae.